Molecule: non-coding RNA, 8484 nt
Organism: Podarcis lilfordi (Lilford's wall lizard)
Lineage: Eukaryota; Metazoa; Chordata; Lepidosauria; Squamata; Lacertidae
Source: the annotation of a GenBank genome assembly
GAGCUCAGUCCAGGCUGGAUCACGGAAGAGGAAAGAAGACCUGAGGGGAAGGCAGAGUGGCCAAAGACUGGCUGGGGUAAGUCAGGUGAAUCACUUGGCUUAGGCUGAAGAGCCAAGAGGAACAACUCAUCAUUUACAGCACCAAGAGGCAGUGGCGGAAGAAGAGGGGUGGGGGGGGCUAACCACCCCGGGUGUCAUCCCUGAGGGACACUCACCGUGGGCCCGGCUAGCCCCGCCCCUGGGUGCACAGCAUGUGCACUGCUCCGGGUGCCAGAGCAGCUAGCUCCACCUCUGCCAAGAGGGCAGAGGUGAAUGACACUUUUGGCUGCUGGACUCUGGUGUCUGGAAGGAAAGCAAGAGUAUAGAUUCCACUACAAUGGACGUUUGGGUUGCGAAUGUGAUCCGUGUGGGAUGCACAUUCGCAACCCGCAGCAUUCACAACCUGUGUCUGCACGUCUGCGCACGCGCGACCGCCGAAACCUGGAAGUAACCCAUUCCAGUACUUCUGGGUUUUGGCGGUCUGUAACCCAAAAAAGACCCUGAUGUUGGGAAAGAUGGAGGGCACAGGGAGAAGGGGAGGACAGAGGACAAGAUGGUUGGACAGUGUUCUCAAAGCUACCAGCAUGAGUUUGACCAAACUGCGGGAGGCGGUGGAAGACAGGAGUGCCUGGCGUGCUCUGGUCCAUGGGGUCACGAAGAGUCGAACACGACUAAACAACAACAAAAAACCCAAAAAAACACAACCUGAAGCGUCUGUAACCCGAGGUAUGACUGUACAGUAAAAGAAGACGUGCUUCUCAGUACGUCAGUAGGGGUUAAAACAAAGGCUGCAGUAAAAGUCCUCAGUUAUAGUGUUGGUGAGGCACAACCAGGGUGAAGUAAAUACAAGGGCAAUCUGGCAAAAGUGUUUUAAUGGGGUAACUAACCGCUUUCUCAAAGCUGUAAUAGUAGUACAAAGUAAGCUUUUGGAAUCGAAGUAACACUAACAAAUUAAUACAGUAUAUAACCAUCUAAAAAGACAGUACUACUGUAUAUUAAAGCUACCGCAUAAGCUGGUGCACUAGAGAAGCUUGCAAUACAUAGAUGUUAAUACCUUUGUUAAAUAUAGUAACUACGGACCACGCCUAUAUCGCAGAGUUACCAUUAGGAUUAUUGGUGUGUUAAAAGUGCAAAGGGUAUAAGUGAUAUUAAAUGUUGGCAGUGGUAAGGUUUUAGGAAAACCACUAAGUGGAAGUUGGGUUUUGUUAAUAAAAUAAGUAAGGAAAUAGGCCCCCUAACCUCACCACAGCUAUUAUAUUAGUCUGAGGGAGGGGGCUCCCAAUGAAAAUUUGGAGAGGGGAGUCACAUGCACAGCAGCUCAUGGCUAUUAAAUAAACAAAAUCUGACAUUCUCACAAAUUAGUAUCACAUGUAGUUUGUGUCUGACUGGCAAUGAGCCAAAAGACCAUGCCUUGUUGAAUUUAAGCGUAUAAGAAGAGCCUACUGGAUCAGGCCAAUGGCCCAUCUAGUCUGGCAUCCUGUUCACAAAGUGGUCAGCCAGAUGCCCGUGGGAAAUCCAAAAGCAGGAUUUGAGCAUAAUAGCACUUUCACUUCCUGUGAUUUCCAGCAACUAGUAUUCAGAAGUAUAGUUGCCUCCAACUGUGGAGGCAGAGCAUAGCCAUCAAUGGCAUUUCAGAUCUAAAAGUUGUAAGUUUGGAGCAGAGGAUAUUGUUAGGAAUCCUGUAAGACUGUGGCUUGUUGAGGUGGUGGUGGUGGUGUUGAGGCAGAACAGUGGGGCAGAUUUGUUCAAUGAGACCCCACAUGGCUGUAUCAGCUUCCCAAAGUCUUCAGUGAUGGUAAUAAAUAAUAAUAGUAAUAGUAGUAGUAGUAGUAACAACAAUAACAACAACAACCAAGAGCAGACAAAGCAGGAGACUACAAGCCAGCCUUUCUUAAAACCUCAAUUUUAAAAUAGCACUGAAUGGGCAGCUACUCACAGGGAGGACGUAUCAACUUGAAGGUUGAACUCGAACGUGCACUAGUUGAAGGCCUGUGGGGGCAAUACAUUAAUCAUUCUUCUCUUCAUGGACAGUACAGGAAUCAUGCUUGAGAGACAUAUCAAUCUGCUCCCCAAAAUAGCACAAUAAAAUCUCCCCUUCCAGGUUUUGGAUGAAACAUCAGAAGCUGUUUUCUACAGAGCCAGGCCAUUGGUCCAUCUUACUCUGUAGAGAGCAGCCUGCACCAUGGAUGGGGAACCCAAGGCUCUCCAGCUACUGUUGGGACUCCCAACGUCCACCAGCUUCAAGCCCACCCUCCCAAUAGCCAGGGGCUAUUAUAGUCUAGCAACAUCUAGAAGGCCACAGGGUUCCUUAUCCCUGGUCUAUACUGACAGACAUGGGCUGUACAAGGUUUCACAUCAGAGUCUUUCUCAGCCCUACUAGGAGAUGCCAGGGACUGAACCUGGGACCUUCUGCAUGCAAAAGCACUGCAUGCUAACACCACAAACAAUUUCUCUUUCCUCCACUGUAUCUAAAAGUGGCCUUCAUGCAGUAUCCAUGUGCUUUGCGACUUUGGGAAUUGUAUAAUAGAGUUGGGGUGAGGGGAGUAGACAGAAGGCAGGACAUCUGUACCUUCCUAGUGGUGCAAAAGAGAAGAAAUGUUAAGAAAUGCACCUUUUCCUUCUGGGGUAGAAGCUGCCCGUUGCAUCUGGCCACCUUAGAACAUGCAUCCAUUUUCCAAACCUCCCCAACCUCUGGUUUUGCACCCCCCCCCCAAUUUUACCCUCAAAUUAAAACCCGGUCAGUCACGAACUUACUUGUACUGGUAAUCAUCAACAGAUUGUGCUGUUGUGAGAGAGGGAAAGAGACACCAAUGUAAUUAAGAAGUUCACCGGGGUGAGAGCAAUGAAUGGAGAAGUCAGGAACUGUUUGCUCCUCGGGGAAAGGAAGUUUGGGGAGGGCGGAAGAGACUUAACUGUCUAAUUCAGGGUCCCGGCAGUCAAUGCAAAGCACAAGUAGAAUCACCAGAAGUGGGACAGUAAAUGCCAGCACCCAGAAGAUGUCACCCGUGUGCGAGGCAUCCAUGCCACCUGCAAGGGGGACAGUAGCAGUAUCCUGGAGUCAGGGCAGGUGCAAACUCCGAGGUGAAAAACAGCAUUGAGCAGCUUAGCGGCACAACAUGUCAAUAGCCCUGUGGGGAAAGAGCCAAAUUCAAGUUCUCGGUGUGUGUUAAACAGAUAAUGAAACCAAAUAUAACUGUUUGUCCCGGUCCCUAUCCACCCAGAAAAUUCAGCUUAUUGAAAUGUCUUAUUCAGAAUUUAUUUCGAGUUUUGACAGCGUUUGGGUGGAUUUUCACACUAUGUAGCAGCAGCAUGUCACAAAAGAUAGCGGAGUGGGGGGAGACCAGCUUGGGCUUGCUUACAUUGUGAAGUGGUCGCCCCUUCGCUAGGCCUGAUGAAUGCUGGAAUAUUAGGAGACAGGGCAGCAGAGAGGCAUUUGUUCUCUCUUCCUGAAUGGGAACUUGAACAUUCAGUAUCCAACAGGUAGAGGAAGGAGUGUCUUGGUUGCUGUUCUUCAGGCCAAAGCCUUAGCAAGUGUGGACAUCUCAACUGGUAGACCGUGGAAUGAUUGGCAAUAGAUUGGCAAGUGUUUUUCACUCCCGGCAACAGUUUAACAAAAAGAUUCCCCGCUCCAAAUUUAGGUUAGAAUUCCAGUUUUACAGCCACCUGCUAAUUUUUAUUUAUAUAUGCAAGGUCGUUCCACUGUAUGGCUCAUGGGGUUCAAGAAAUAAUUGGCUCCACCCCACUGGCCACCCAUUUUGUGUCUGACUCUGACCCAAGCUACUGUUUUAUGUUCACCUCUGGCCAGUGAACUGUGGGAUUCUAGCAAAAAUCUGAAGUAGAUUCUAAAAAACACAAAGUUUGCCAGGCCUGCACUACAAGAAUGCUCUUCAAAUUUCCUAUCAGGGAAUCCUUUUUACAGCCUUCUACCUGCCUGCCAAUAAUUCUUGCCCAUCUGCCAAUGAAGCGCUGGCAAAUCACAAAGGAAAACGAAAGGCUUUUUUUCUGCCUCAGUCAAAUUUAAAAGCCAUCCCUCAUUUUUUAUUAUUUGAGUAGCACAUCAUGUUGUCUCAGUGAAUGCUUUGCAAAUGUAUAUAAUUUUCAUUAUGGCAUUUCAGUAAGCAACUCAUUGAUAGUCUUGUGCACUGUGUUUUUCUGCUCUAGCUAGACUAACUAGUUAUCCCAAACUCCUAGGGUAUAAACAGAUAUAAGAAUCCCAAUUUUGCCAGUGGCUGGCAUCCGUCUGUGGAAGCAAAGAAAAAAAGAGGGGGAGAAAACUCCCAAAAUUGUAGCAAAAAGUUAUCUCCACGAUACUUAUAUAGCUUAGGCAGGUACCCCAGCAGGCCUGCGCAUAGCUUGUCUGAGGCCAAGACGAGAGUCCCUGGUUGGCUGAGAGGCCCAGGGCAUUUUUUGCACGGCAGCUUAAGUCUUUCAGGGGGCCCCCAGCUGGCUUAGCCCUCCGAGACCUUGGCUGCCCCCUUCCUCUGCACCAGCCUGCGUUCUGGGGGAUUUGGGUCCCAAAAAGUUGCUGUUUGAGUCUGCGGAUAGGCUGGCUCUAGGGAAACAUUGUAGGCCAACUACUCUGUUCGCUCAGGAUGGAACAACAUGGCCUAUAGGGCCUCACCAUUGCCCUGUGUACACAGAGAUACUGAGCCUUACGCAACAUUGUUCCCUUAUGAAUUUGCAGCUGGAAGGCAAUCAAUAGCGCAGAGAGAGCUCUCUUUCAAAUGCAUGUGCUAAUCCCACCAUUACUGAUAGACCACAGAGAUCCCCACAGCUCAGCCAGGGAGGCGUUAACAGGAGGGAGCACAGCAGAGCGAGCAGUGGUCUUGUGGAAAUAACCCAAUUGACACACCGCUUAACUGCAUGUAGCAGCAGGAUGCACAAGAAAUCUCCAAGAGGCUGGGCCGAAAGAAAAUGGUUGGGGUGGGUGGUUCAAGAAGGCUUUAGAAAGGAGGGACCACCCCCAAAUUCAAUACAAGCUUGGAGAUACAAAUGGCGUUCUAGGCUAUGAUCCACAGUACCUUUCAGCAGGAUGCUAAUUCACAAAGCCAAGGCAGGUAUACACAUUCUGGAUUUGAGCAAGAGACAACAGACAACAGCAUCAUGGUUUGCCACAAAAGUGACCAUGAUGGGGAAUAGAGAGGGAAGUUAGCUAACAGAAUUGCUUUCAGAGGUGUCUGUUAGGAGACAUUUUCACUAAAGUGCUGAUCAAUUUUCUUGAGGAUUUUUUAAAAAAUUGCAAACUAAUGCAGAGAACUGAACAUAAGACUGUAAAAAUGAGAAAGAGAGAGAAACCCAAAUUGAUAACCCAACUGCCUGAAAGGAGCAGUAUGUUUGUGUGUGGAGAACUCACUCAUUUCCCUAAAUACACAUAGUUUUGCAAUGCAGAUUCCCCUAACACAAUGCAUUUUCCCUUGUACAUGCCUUUUAAAUGCACACAUUACCCCAGUAUACGCAUUUUGUUAUGCACUGCUUGGUUAGAGAAUUGCAUUGCAAAAUUCCUAAGAGUGCGAAUUUCAAAAGAUGGCUUUGUUUGAGUUCAUGUACAGCUUCAGAAAGUGUGGAUUAGGUAUGUUCACUUAAUGCCAACAGACAAAUGCCAACUGAACUGGAUUUCUCCCUCACCCCUAGUCUGAAGGCACCUUUGGCAGCCACUGUGCUGAAGCCAAACUGGCCUGGGUCUGGAUGGGAGAUUGGCUAGAACCCUCCCCACACCUCCUUGAGCUCCAGGGAAGAGAGACAGAUGUAAACAAAAUAAUUUAAAAAUGGACAUAGGUUUUGUCAAGGUAAGGUAAAGGUAAAGGGAUCCCUGAUCAUUAGGUCCAGUCGUGACCGACUCUGGGAUUGCGGCGCUCGUCUCACUUUAUUGACCAAGGAGCCGGCGUACAGCUUACAUGUGGCCAGCAUGACUAAGCCGCUUCUGGUGAACCAGAGCAGCGCACGGAAACGCCGUUUACCUUCCCGCCAGAGUGGUACCUAUUUAUCUACUUGCACUUUGACGUGCUUUCAAACUGCUAGGUUGGCAGGAGCAGGGACCGAGCAACGGGAGCUCACCCUGUUGCGGGGAUUCGAACCGCCGACCUUCUGAUCGGCAAGCCCUAGGCUCUGUGGUUUAACCCACAGCGCCACCCGCAUCCCUUUUUUUGUCAAGGUACUCCAACUAAAAAAGAUUGCUGUGGACUAGAAACGUACAUGGAUUAAAUUGCUGGGUUAGGAGGUAUAGUGGAGACAUCUCCAUCGUGAAUGAAAGAACAUCAUAGAGCUAGCUACUUGGAGCUGACACUUCUAUACUUGGGUGUUGGCAUGUCCUGAGGCACCAGAAGUGUCUUUUGCCAGCUGUGUAUGGUACAAAAUGCGCUUUGAUCAUUCCUGGUCUGGGAGAAUUUACAGUAAUUCAGGCACUGGUGACUUCAAGAUUGGAUUACUGCAAUGCACUUUAUGUGGGGUUUCCCUUGAACUGAACCCGCCAACUUCAGUUAGUGCAGUACAGUUGCUGGCAGGAAUGAGACCCUCGCUGCAUAUAGUACUUUUGCUCAGAGACCUGCACUGAAUCCUCACUGGCUACCAGGCCAAGUAUUACUAUUCAUAUAUAAAGCCCUUCAGCAUUUGGGAGCAGGUUACAUGCAGGAUUGCCUUUCUUCAUACCUCUUCUUUGCACCUGCUUAAAACGUUUUUGUUUUGGCAAGCCUAUCCAGACAGAUAGAAGUUGCCAUGUUUUAAUCCCUUUUACAGUUAAUAUUGUUUAAUGUUUUCAGUUUUUUUACUACUAUUGAGGAAGGGCAGUACAGUCGUACCUUGGCUGCCGAACACCUUGGGAGUCAAACGUUCCGGCUCCCGAACGAUCAAAAACCGGAAAUGAGUGUUCUGGUUUGCGAACGUUCUUUGGAACCUGAACGUCCGACGGGGCUUCCGAUUGGCUGCAGGAGCUUCCUAAAGCCAAUCGGAAGACGUGCUUUGGUUUUUGAACGUUUCAGAAGUCAAACGGACUUCCGGAAUGGAUUCUGUUCAACUUCUAAGGUAUGACUAUAUCUCAGUGGUGGAGAAUCUGCUUUGCAUGCAGAACAUUCCAAAUUUAAUCCCAGGCUUCUCCAGGUAGGGCUGGGAAACCCUGGGGAGCUGCUGCCAGUCAGUGUUGACAGUAAUGAGCAAGAUGGACCAACAGUCUGAUUCAGUCUAAAGCAGCUGCCUCUGCUGCUCCUAAUUGGGGUAUAAAUGUUGUUAAUAAAAACCUCCACACACAACCAUCCAAAUGUUUUACCAGAUACUACAUUCCAUGCCACAUUUCCUACACAGAGAAAACCUGUUCCAGAAGCCUGAGGUUGUAAGUGAAGGUUCUUUGAUGCGCCCCUCCCCCAGCAUAGAAGAAGAAAAAAAGAGUGUGGGAACAGCAGUGGGAGCAGGGGUGACUCACGCCAGUGACAACAACCCACAGCCGGAUUUGGGCGCCAGUGCAAAAGCCUCGCUCUGUGUUGUGGGUGCCGUGGGAGGGAAUUUGCAGCUGCAACUCUGCAGCUGCAAGGUUGCAAUGUCUUGCUUGGGGGGAGGGGGGAGAACAGAAGUUAGCCAAGACCUUCUAGGCGCCACUCAUGAUUCAGUAGGUGGGAGGGGGCAGGGAAAGGGAUGGGGCCUAUGAGAAACCUACCGUUUGACACCUCUGAAUAAUGCCAAACUCUCUCCUUACACACACACACACACACACACACACACACACACACACACACAGUGUCUCCCCACUUCUUCGCCACUUGAUUGGAGCGCUGGCAACAAGCCAAAGUGACCACAAACCACGGGUUCCGUUACUGGGUAGAAACUGGCUUGUUGGAGGGAACUGGAGCAAAAUGGCAAAACGAAGGGGUGGGAAAGUUGGUUGGGGGGCGGAGGGUGCCAGGCCAAAAUUCAAGGGAGGUUAUUAUGUGGAUGUGUCUGUUCUAUUUCUUUUGCCCUCUUCUACAUAGCGUUACUCGUUUAUUAUGCCCCACACCCUUCAAAGCGAACCCACUGUCAGAGAUGGAUAAAUAGGAGCGAGGGAAGGAGAGCGUGAAUGCAGUAGCAAGACAGAAAAAAGAUUGCGAUCAGAACAGGGGUGGGGGAGGCACAGAGCAGGAAAAGAAGCACUCUGUGCAACGAAGAAAAACAAUUUAUUGCUUCCCGUUGUUAAUCUGGGUUUGAAUUUGCAUUCCUACGUACCCUGGUGGGGCAAUGGGCACAGCCUAGCCAGCAACAAGGGCCACAGACCCAAAAUUAUAGCCAAAAUGAACUAAACGGUUUAUUAAUGCAUGACUACACAGCUUUAGUGUAGGUCCAAAUGACUUCCAACACAUCAUUUUCAAUUAUUUCUAUAUUUUGCAGUGUCAAAACUGAAUUCUUUCAAACUUGAGUCAGUGGUCCUGGUCACUGGUUACACUACACUCACUGGGACGCUCAGGAGGAAAAAAGUCAGACUCC